This 2469-nucleotide long non-coding RNA is filed under the name Homo sapiens (human). RNAcentral describes it as "HSALNT0365249". The record is from RNAcentral. Lineage: Eukaryota; Metazoa; Chordata; Mammalia; Primates; Hominidae.
CUGGAGUGGAGCUGAGAGAGGCUCUUGGGAGCUGCCUGCGUGGGCAGAGUUUGAAGGCUUAGGAUAUCUCCUGAAGGCCGGAUGGGCCAGUAGAGAUUAACGAGGCUUGAGCUGUCUUGAAAGAUGGCUGCCCUGAGAACUGGCUAGAAGAGGAGACCAAGGAGGCUGUGUGGGUCACCCUUGCAUUGGAGAUGAGGGGAGUCGUGAGAGAUCAGUGGGGAGCCCAUUGCCCUGUUGGGGAACUGCCUGGUGGAGCUUUCCCAGGGAUAUUUUAAAGAACCUACAUGGGAGAAAGCCUGCAUUUGGACAUCUUCCAGGCCAUUCAAUAGCCAAAGAGAACCACCAACAGCUUGAAUCAAAAAAAAGGUACAAUUUGCUUGAUGUCAUCAAUACAGUGAGCCAGUGUGAUAUUCUGCGGAAUUGAAGAUGACUACAGUCCCUUUGGACUACACUAUGACAAAGAACAAGAGUGUUAGCACAGCCCUGGGUGGGUCACUGACAAGAAAAUUCACCUGGAGGCCAAAUUGUCUCUAAUAACAAGUCCAAGACAUGCAUUCCAGCUGGAAUCCUCUUCCCGGAUGGUUGUGUGUUUUUAAUUGCAGUAGCCAUCUCCAAAAAUGCCAUCCAGUAACCAUGCCCUUGUGUGCUGCCCUUUCCAUGAAUCUGAGCUAGCCCCAUAAUUUGCUUUUGGCCAUUGGAUGGUGGUGGAAGUGAUGCUGUGUGACUUUUGAAGCUGAGUUACAAGCAGCCUUGGACAGUCUUUCUAGACCUCGUGGAGGGCUCACUCUGGGGGAAGCCAACCAGCAUAUCCGUGUCCCUGUCUGUAACACAGGGCUAAGCAAGUUCUUCAGCUAUUGGGCUUCAUCCACUCAACAUUCCACUGGCACUUCCAGAGCUGCCACCACACUUCAGACUCCCAAGGCUAACAAUGACCAAGAAAGACAGAUUCUCUGACGUCAUGGAACUUACUGUCUUUAUGAAUUUCCAGGGAGAAGGGUGCUAAGAUGCUAACAUGGAUACUAACCAUCUGAUGCAAUAUUCUGCUGCACAGAUUGUGACCUAUGACUCACUGGGACAUGAUAGAGGUCACAGAAAUGCCAAUGACAUCCCAAAGACAGUGUGGGAGUGUGUUGUCUAGCUUCUUAGCAAACCCCACCCCCACGGUGGCAUGACCCCUGCACCAUCUUCUCCCACCCUGGGAUCUCCUUCCUACCCCUCUGCCCAUGUCAAUCUGGAAGGUACUUUUAUACACACACACACACACUCCUAAUAGCAUCUAAAUCAGUCACUCUCAACCUUGGCUGUGCAUUAGUGGUGCUUACCUAUGACAGGGCUAGGCCCAGGCCACACCCAAAUCCAUUAAAGCAGAGCGUCUGGGGUGGGACCCAAGCAUCAGAGUUAUUGGCAUCUUCCCAGCUCGAGAACCAGUGCUCUAAGCGGAUGUGGUCGUCGGGGGAAAGGCAAGGACCUCUGGUCUUUACAAUCUUCUUGAUAUCACUGAAUAACCUCAGUUUCUCUGUCUGGGCAAGGAGGGUACUAAUACCUCCCUCUCCAGGCCAUGAUGAAGGUAAAACAAUAUUCUGAAAGAACCUCAGGAAUCCUGCCCAGAUGAGAGGCACUGGCCCUGUGGCCUCUGGGCAGAUUCACUGGAGAAAGUGGUGGGUGUGAUGGUUUCCCUGGGGGCCAACACUGAGACUUCCCAGUGUUUGCUCUACCAGGGUGAGCAUCACUGUGGUGAAUGUCCCUUGCAGAGCUCACAUCUGUUGCACCAGGAUACUUCCCCUGAAGCUGAGCUGCCAGCCCCAGCCUCCCAUUCCCCCACCUCCUUACCAUGCCCUUCCUUUCCUUCUCUGGCCAGGCCCGAGUCCUGCCAUCUCUAGAUGCUGCAUUUCCAAUACUUUCGGCCCAAUAAACAGUUGGCAGGUGUCAGGUUCCCAGGUUUGAAAGGGGUCUAUAUUAAUCACAGAGAUACACACCUGUCAGGAGUCCAGCUAAUGUCCUUCAGAGAGCCCUGGAGGAGAGCGGGAGAGGCAGGGCUGAUCUGAGGGCGGAGCACACUGAGGAGUAAGGAGAGGCUGGGAUGUGCUAGGGCCACCAGACCAGGAUGUACUGGGGCCGCCAGACCUGUCCACGGAGUCCAGGCGGGGGACUCCCACAUGUCUCAGGCAUCAUGAGGGGCUACAGAAGCAGCAUGAAAACAGUCCCCACCCUCGCCCAGUUCAUGACCUAUAUUGGGAGUGACACACGCUGGGCUUUAAGAUGCUUGCCAAGCAACAUACAGGCAAGUGCAAAGUAGUGAAUCCAGGUUGAGGAAGUGGGUGAGGAGAAGAAAUAUCAGGUGAGAAGCAGACCUGGGGGUUGGGAGAAUGGGGUAGGAAGAGUCCCAGAUAUGCAGUGAAAAGUCAUGCCCUGUUAACGGGGAGAGAAUAGAAGGAGGGGAGGGGAGUGGAGGGAAGAGGAAGGGAGCAG